Molecule: small nuclear RNA, 298 nt
Filed under: Salvator merianae (Argentine black and white tegu)
Lineage: Eukaryota; Metazoa; Chordata; Lepidosauria; Squamata; Teiidae
Description: 7SK RNA (ENSSMRG00000017486.1)
Rfam family: 7SK RNA
About the family: 7SK was discovered as an abundant small nuclear RNA in the mid-70s but a possible function has only recently been suggested. Two independent studies have found that 7SK RNA binds the CDK9/cyclin T complex (known as elongation factor P-TEFb).
Source: Rfam by way of RNAcentral
GGAUGUGGACUGUACAAUCUGUGCUCCCAUUGGUGGCCAACGUUGAUUCAGCUGAUCUGGUUGGCUAGGCUAGUGACAUCUUCCUCUCUCUCCAUUCCAUGUUUAUCCGUCCUGAAGCUGUGCAUUCAGUGGAAGAGGAUGACCAUCCCAAAUAGAAGAAAAGCAUCCUUCUUUGAACAAAGGCAUAGUAUAGCUGCACUCCUGUUCUAGAAUCUCCAAACAACCUUAGGUUUCAUAUGUGUAUCCACAUUAUGAUGCUCAUCCAAGCCUCACUGAGGAUGUGUUCAAACAUGUGCUU